UCAAAAAAAUAAUAAUCAAGAAAUCAACUCUCUCAUCUCACUCAAAGAGCCAUCGCACAGCACAACUCACACCACCACACCCCGAUAUCGUCGUUGGACCACACACCAGAUGCACACUGGACAUAGCUGUGGCUCUCUCAUCAGUCAUCUCUGUCACUCCCUAGCCCCUACUCCAAGCGUCAUUGCUUUGAUCUCUCAUCUCUGUUGCUCGACUCACUCCCAACUCCAAGCGCACGACACCCAGCAGCUAGCACACGACACCUAGUGACUAGCGUACAACCACCGCACGACUCCACCGACAACUUCCACUAUCUACAAUGCAUCAACAGCCAACAGGUAGUCUCAACUCUAGAGCAUUGACAUGGAGGAGUCUUAGUCUAUAGAUAUGGUUAAUGUGAGAGAAAGCAAUGAUACUUCUGAGGUAAUGAAACCUCCUACCCAUACUAGUAGUACUGCUCCUAUUCCUAGAAGUAAAUGUAAAACUUUAGAUGUGUUGAAUUACUUUGAUGAGAAUGGGAAUGAGAGGGCAAGCUGUUUAAGUUGCAACAAAUCCUAUGCAUAUGGUAGUGCCUCUCAUGUGACUAAAAAUUUGAAGCGUCAUAUGGGAGAUUAUGUUAAACGUGUCAACAAGGAUGUAGGGCAAUUAAUGAUUGAUAUUGGGCGUAGAUUGCAAAGUACCAAGAUUUUUCAAGAGACUUAUUGUGAAAAAAUGGCAUUAUCAAUUAUUAAACAUAAUUUUCCAUAUUCAUUUGUGGAGCAUGAUAGAAUUAGGGACAUCCAUUUAUAUUUGAAUAAGGAAGUAAGCCUUAUACUAGGAACACCGCUAAGGCAAAUUGCUUAAAAAUAUACAGAAGGGAGAUGGAAAAAAUUAAGCUUGAAUUAGAGAGGAUUUCUAGUAGAAUAUGCUUAACUUCUGAUUUAUGGAGUUAUUGUACGAUUGAUGGUAUGUUUCUUUAACAGCUUAUUACAUAGGUGUGAAUUGGGUGUUACAAAGUAGGAUUCUAAACUUUUGCCAUAUGCCUCCUCCAAACUCAAGGGUGCUUUUGGCAGAAACAUUCUUUGGUUUCUUAAAAGAAUGGGGAAUUGAAAGGAAGAUUUUCUCUCUUACUUUGGACAAUGUGAGUAAUAAUGAUAAGAUGGAAGAUAUUUUAGAGAGGCAACUUUGUGUGCAAAAUGCAUUGUUAUGUAAUGGUGAUUUCUUCCAUGUGCGAUGUUUUGCACAUAUCUUAAAUCUUAUUGUUCAAGAAGGGUUAAAAAUUGCUAGUGUGGCUUUGCAUAAGAUUUGAGAAAGUGUGAAAUAUAUUAAAGCAAGUGAGAGUAAAAUAAUCAAGUUUGGAGAACCUACUGUUCAAAUUGGUGUGAAAAGCUCAAUGGAAUUGCGAUCGGAUGUUCUCACUAGAUGGAAUUCUACUUUUUUAAUGCUUGAAACUGUGUUAAUAUAUAUAGCGAUAUGUGUUUGUACAUUUGUCUUUAGUAGAUCCCAAUUAUAAAGAUUAUCCAUCAAAUGAAGAAUGGGAUGGGGGGAGAGGAUAUGCAAAUUCUUGCAACCAUGUUAUGAGAUUACAACUCUUUUUUCGGGUUCCAAAUACCCCACAACAAACUUGUACUUUAAAAAUGUGUAGGAAAUCCAAUUGCUAUUUAAUGAAGGGAUGGUGAGUGAGGAUGAAGUUCUCAGUAGCAUGGCAAAUCAAAUGAUCUCAAAAUUUACAAAAUAUUGGGAUUCUUAUAGUGUUGCAUUAACUAUUGCAACUUCUUGACCCGCGUUUAAAGAUUCAGUUUGUGGAGUAUGCUUACAAGAAAGUUUAUGACUUACCUACUACCUAAAGAAAGAUGGAGGUUGUUGAGAAGAACUUGUAUAAACUUUUUAAAUUUUGCAAGGCACAAAGUCCCAAAGAAGUUCUCGGCGCCACCUCUUCAGAUACUUUUCUUGCAAGUGGUUCUCCUCUUAUUAUACGUUAAGAUUAUAUUUGUGAUUUUGACAGUUAUGAGAGUGACUUUAGUGCUAUUAGGAAGUCUGAAUUGGAUCUUUAUUUGGAAGAUCAAUGUUUGAUUGCAUCAAACAUCAUAAUAUGGAUAUCCUCAAACAUUGAAAAAGCAAUUGCGAUCGUUAUCCAACACUUGUCGUGAUGGCCUGUGACAUCAUGAGUAUACCAAUAACAUAUGUUGCUUUAGAGUCUGCUUUUAGUAUUGGCAACAAAGUGCUCAAUAAAUACCCAAGCUCACUUAAACUAGAUAAUGGACAAUCUUUGUUAUGCACUCGGACUUGGCUAUAUGGAUAUGAAUUUAAAGAUGAUGAUGAGAUGGAUCAUGAGUUUCAUGUGCCAUUAACUAAUGUGAGGAUUGUGGAAUCAAGAGACUCCACUCACACUGCCAUCGGUCCAUCGUGUUCGUGAAAUCAACAUUCAACAUGAGCUAGCCAAGAAUAUUUUUAGUUGAAACAAUGCCAAGUUAUAUACUUAUAUUUA
Pistacia vera is the source of this 2465-nucleotide long non-coding RNA. RefSeq lists it as uncharacterized. NCBI's taxonomy places the organism in Eukaryota, Viridiplantae, Streptophyta, Magnoliopsida, Sapindales, Anacardiaceae. The record is from RefSeq and is a predicted model, not a curated record. The transcript is spliced from 4 exons.